This 496-nucleotide ribosomal RNA is filed under the name uncultured bacterium. Its description in RNAcentral is "partial 16S ribosomal RNA". It matches the Rfam family "Bacterial small subunit ribosomal RNA", at positions 28 to 507 of the family's 1533-position model. The record is from RNAcentral.
GAUGAACGCUGGCGGCGUGCCUAAUACAUGCAAGUCGAGCGAACAGAUGAGGAGCUUGCUCCUCUGACGUUAGCGGCGGACGGGUGAGUAACACGUGGAUAACCUACCUAUAAGACUGGGAUAACUUCGGGAAACCGGAGCUAAUACCGGAUAAUAUAUUGAACCGCAUGGUUCAAUAGUGAAAGACGGUUUUGCUGUCACUUAUAGAUGGAUCCGCGCCGCAUUAGCUAGUUGGUAAGGUAACGGCUUACCAAGGCAACGAUGCGUAGCCGACCUGAGAGGGGAUUCGGCACACUUGAACCUGGACACGGUCCAGAAUCCCACGGGAAGCAAGCAGAGGGAAAUUUUCGCAAUGGGCGAAAGCCUGACGGAGCAACGCCGCGUGAGUGAUGAAGGUCUUCGGAUCGUAAAACUCUGUUAUUAGGGAAGAACAAAUGUGUAAGUAACUAUGCACGUCUUGACGGUACCUAAUCAGAAAGCCACGGCUAACUACGUG